UACGGGAGGCAGCAGUGGGGAAUAUUGCACAAUGGGCGCAAGCCUGAUGCAGCCAUGCCGCGUGUAUGAAGAAGGCCUUCGGGUUGUAAAGUACUUUCAGUCGUGAGGAAGGUGUUAAGGUUAAUAACCUUAGCAAUUGACGUUAGCGACAGAAGAAGCACCGGCUAACUCCGUGCCAGCAGCCGCGGUAAUACGGAGGGUGCGAGCGUUAAUCGGAAUUACUGGGCGUAAAGGGCACGCAGGCGGUUAAUUAAGUUGGAUGUGAAAUCCCCGGGCUUAACCUGGGAAUGGCAUUCAAGACUGGUUAGCUAGAGUCUUGUAGAGGGGGUAGAAUUCCAUGUGUAGCGGUGAAAUGCGUAGAGAUGUGGAGGAAUACCGGUGGCGAAGGCGGCCCCUGGGACAAAGGCUGACGCUCAUGUGCGAAAGCGUGGGGAGC
This 436-nucleotide ribosomal RNA is filed under the name uncultured bacterium. RNAcentral describes it as "bacterial SSU rRNA". It matches the Rfam family "Bacterial small subunit ribosomal RNA", at positions 340 to 769 of the family's 1533-position model. The record is from RNAcentral.